Molecule: transfer RNA, 75 nt
Filed under: Streptosporangium roseum
Lineage: Bacteria; Bacillati; Actinomycetota; Actinomycetes; Streptosporangiales; Streptosporangiaceae
Also listed under: 33 other names
Description: tRNA-Gln
Rfam family: tRNA
About the family: Transfer RNA (tRNA) molecules are approximately 80 nucleotides in length. Their secondary structure includes four short double-helical elements and three loops (D, anti-codon, and T loops). Further hydrogen bonds mediate the characteristic L-shaped molecular structure. tRNAs have two regions of fundamental functional importance: the anti-codon, which is responsible for specific mRNA codon recognition, and the 3' end, to which the tRNAs corresponding amino acid is attached (by aminoacyl-tRNA synthetases). tRNAs cope with the degeneracy of the genetic code in two manners: having more than one tRNA (with a specific anti-codon) for a particular amino acid; and 'wobble' base-pairing, i.e. permitting non-standard base-pairing at the 3rd anti-codon position.
Source: RNAcentral
UCCGGCAUUGGGUAAUUGGCAGCCCGCAAGGUUUUGGUCCUUGUUGUCCAGGUUCGAGUCCUGGUGCCGGAGCCA